Molecule: ribosomal RNA, 439 nt
Filed under: uncultured bacterium
Lineage: Bacteria
Description: partial 16S ribosomal RNA
Rfam family: Bacterial small subunit ribosomal RNA
Source: RNAcentral
CCUACGGGGGGCAGCAGUGGGGAAUAUUGCACAAUGGGCGAAAGCCUGAUGCAGCAACGCCGCGUGAGUGAUGAAGGCCUUCGGGUCGUAAACCUCUGUCCUCAAGGAAGAUAAUGACGGUACUUGAGGAGUAAGCCACGGCUAACUACGUGCCAGCAGCCGCGGUAAUACGUAGGGGGCUAGCGUUAUCCGGAUUUACUGGGGGUAAAGGGUGGGUAGGCGGUUUUUAAAGUCAGGGGUAAAAGGAUAGGGCUCAACCGUAGAAAGCAUUUGAAACUGGGAGACUUGAGUGCAGGAGAGGGGAGUGGAAUUCCGGGUGUAGCGGUGAAAUGCGUAGAUAUAAGGAGGAACACCAGUGGCGAAGGCGGCGCUCUGGACUGUAACUGACGCUGAGGCGCGAAAGCGUGGGGAGCAAACAGGAUUAGAUACCCGUGUAGUC